CAGAACUCUUGGGGUAUUGCCAAAGGAAAUCCACUCGUGCCCAUUGAACUCAAAGUGGCUGUUUUCUCAUGUUUCCAGUCCUUUAGGGAGAGGCAAAGAGCAGGGGAUGGAAAAGGGAGUCCUUUUCCUCUACCACACCAAAGCAGCACCAGUGUCCAGCAGACCAUGUCCAAAUGCCUCUUCCUGAGCAGGGUUAGGAGCUUGUGGCCAAGUGUUGGGUCUCUUUGCAGCUCUGAAGACAAUGAUCUGGCCAGCAGGAAUGCAAGUGGAGCCCAGAGUUUGCCUUCUGUGGAUGCUAUGGUUGAAAGGAACUGACUCUUGAUGUGGAGAUAAGGCUGUGUUUUUUUUGCUUCCUUUGCUGCUUCAUAUUUGGAGUUUAAAAUUUACCCUGGUACAGGCAGGUUACUCUUGGUGUGGAACAACAACUUAAGGGAAUGGGUCAAGUUCUUCUGGGGAAGGGUAAGAGAAAAGAGGAGGGGAUAGGAGGCAUUGCCUCAACUUCAUCUCUUCAUAAUUGUGGCAUCAGAUAUAUUCAACAGGAAAUUAAGUUCUUGUAAAGGGGUGGGGGAGAAGAAUCAAAGCAACCCAGCAGAACAGUUCAUUCAGCUGCGGUUACAUUUUUCAUUAGAUCCUCUGAAAUGGGUCACUGGGUGGUCAAAACCAUAUUAUUAUUGUGCAUGCAGUGUGACUUUCACUUCCCUGGGUGCUCACAGGGCAGGUAAACAUGGGGAAAGAGCAAAGGGGGAAUUAACUGGUUUCUCGCCAUCCUUCAGGGAACUGUGGUGCUGCACGGGAUGAGCUGAGAUCUGAGUUCUGCUGCUGAUCAUGGGUGGGUGGCAGCAUUGGCCUUAAAGCUAAAGCUGUCUUUAAAGCUCCCUUUUCACACCGGUUGUAGGUGGGUUUAGGUGAUCCAUUAAUGUUGUCUUACAAAUUUGGGCAGAUUGAGAGGUUUUGAUGAGUCCCAAUUCUUCUCCAAAGCACCUGCUGAAGACUGCAGAUCUUGUGAAGGAGCAAAGGACAAUGUUGUCAGGCAUCCCUUAUCAGGGUUAUGAGCUUGGCAGGCGCAGGAUUCCCGCAAACCGGCGCUUCUGGGCCAGGCAUGGACCCGUGGUCUGACCCAAUCCAGCUAAAUCCUUUGCAGUAGAUGCCCAGGAAGCCAGCUGAAGGAAGAUACGGAGUGAUAAGGAGGAAUAGAGCUCUCUUCUUGAGGCCAGUAUUCCUUUGGUAAGUGAAUAAAAGAGACCAAAUCUGCACUAGUAAUGUAUUGAGGCAUUUGUGGCCCCAGAUACUCAGAAGACGGUUUGCUGGCCCUGAGUCUGUCCUGAGAAACUGGUCAAAUGAGAUAGCAGCAGGGAGCUAAGCAGAGCUGCAGAGAAGCUGCAAUGAGCAUGUGAGUUGUAACGGACAGUCCCAUCCCUCCGGAGAGGAAAAUUCCAGGUGUGAGGUGGGAAAAUGACGUAACCUCCCUGGGAGAUCCCGACUCCACGUCGUCACCUCCGUGGCCGUCGGAUGCCUCUCGGAGCAGCAAUUUGGGUUCCCAGCAGAAAAGACAGAAAUGCAUCUGUUUACUUUUUGGCUAUCUAUGGGUUCAUUAACCAGGCUUGAGGAUGGGAGAAGCAGCUGAUCUGAUUUGACUCUUGAUGCACAAAUGUGUCCUGUUUGGAGCCAAAGCAAGUGUUUCCUUGGGGAUGGUUCCAGCAUGCCUUGCUCCUGCACGCGUUGCAGGCCAACUCCAUGGCUAGAAUUGAAGCCUAUUUUAAAAGGAAAAGCUUUUUUUUCCUCCCCCUUAUAGUCAGUUUUCUUCUUGAUUUUGGUAUGGAGAGAAGGCAAUCACUGAGGGUUGAAUUUAACUUGUUUCUUUCCUGUUAUCUGUAAACAGGGGAUAAGCAAAUAAUUUAGUUCCUAUCCUGCCUGCCCCCAGAUUUUAUAUUGCAUCUAUUAUCUUAGAAUUUAAGCUGAAGUGUGUUUUGAUUAGAAGUAGAAUAAAAAGUUGAGAGCCGA
Pezoporus flaviventris is the source of this 2001-nucleotide long non-coding RNA. RefSeq lists it as uncharacterized. The record is from RefSeq and is a predicted model, not a curated record. Lineage: Eukaryota; Metazoa; Chordata; Aves; Psittaciformes; Psittacidae. The transcript has 4 exons.